UCCCUGGUGGUCCAAUGGUUAAGAAUCUGCCUUUCAAUGCAGGAGACACAGGUUCGAUACCUGUUCCGGGAA
RNAcentral lists this transfer RNA (72 nucleotides) under Bos taurus (domestic cattle). It matches the Rfam family "tRNA". From Rfam's summary of the family: Transfer RNA (tRNA) molecules are approximately 80 nucleotides in length. Their secondary structure includes four short double-helical elements and three loops (D, anti-codon, and T loops). Lineage: Eukaryota; Metazoa; Chordata; Mammalia; Artiodactyla; Bovidae. RNAcentral also lists the same sequence under 3 other names. The record is from Rfam by way of RNAcentral.